GACGAACGCUGGGGCGUGCUUAUACAUGCAAGUCGAACGAUGAACCACUUUGGUGGGGAUUAGUGGCGAACGGGUGAGUAACACGUGGGCAAUCUGCCCUUUACUCUGGGACAAGCCCUGGAAACGGGGUCUAAACCGGAUAACACUUCUGUUCUCGUGGGUGGAGGUUAAAAGCUCCGGCGGUGAAGGAUGAGCCCGCGGCCUAUCAGCUUGUUGGUGAGGUAAUGGCUCACCAAGGCAGACGACGGGUAGCCGGCCUGAGAGGGCGACCGGCCACACUGGGACUGAGACACGGCCCAGACUCCUACGGGAGGCAGCAGUGGGGAAUAUUGCACAAUGGGCGAAAGCCUGAUGCAGCGACGCCGCGUGAGGGAUGACGGCCUUCGGGUUGUAAACCUCUUUCAGCAGGAAGAAGCGAAAUGACUGUACGUCAAAAACGCUUCUAUACC
This 449-nucleotide ribosomal RNA is filed under the name Streptomyces sp. 15. RNAcentral describes it as "bacterial SSU rRNA". It matches the Rfam family "Bacterial small subunit ribosomal RNA", at positions 28 to 479 of the family's 1533-position model. The record is from RNAcentral. Lineage: Bacteria; Bacillati; Actinomycetota; Actinomycetes; Kitasatosporales; Streptomycetaceae.